Molecule: ribosomal RNA, 274 nt
Filed under: uncultured bacterium
Lineage: Bacteria
Description: partial 16S ribosomal RNA
Rfam family: Bacterial small subunit ribosomal RNA
Source: RNAcentral
AUACGGAGGGUGCAAGCGUUACUCGGAAUCACUGGGCGUAAAGCGCGCGCAGGCGGCUUGAUAAAUUGGAUGUGAAAGCCUACGGCUCAACCGUAGAACUGCAUCCAAAACUGUCAAGCUAGAGUCUGGGAGGGGAAGAUGGAAUUAGUUGUGUAGGGGUAAAAUCCGUAGAGAUAACUAGGAAUACCAAAAGCGAAGGCGAUCUUCUGGAACGGUACUGACGCUGAGGCGCGAAAGCGUGGGGAGCAAACAGGAUUAGAAACCCCAGUAGUCC